UUGAGGAGAUGCAGCCUGGAAGGAAGUGGGAGGUGCAGCUGCAGAGGGACAGGAAACUGCUGGGUGGGAAUCUGAAGUGAUGAGCUAGUUGCAGACAGACGGAUGGCUCAGCAGCACACUGUAAAUAACUUUGAUGGACUGUCGUCAAUGAUGCAGGUGUGAGGCAAGUCAAGAAAAAAGGAGGUUGAAAGAAUGUGGGGUGUACUGUGAGGGAAAUGCAUUCUUAUGAUGAUGCAUCUCAACAGUUGUGAAACACUGAAAUCCUUGGGCAGGACACUGUAAGUGUAAAAGAUAAGUCAGACAUAAAACCUUUCAGAGCACUGCAGCAAGAGAAACCAGUGAGGGGCAGCAGGUUUUCACAUGGAAAAUAUUACUGUCUUUCAUGUUUAAGGAAAUACGGAGCUCUGGCAGUUGGUCUCCUUCCAUUGCAUUGAAAUGACGACAUGCAAAUGUUUGCAAAUGAAUGCUACAAAACACUCCUGAACCACCAAUUUAUAACUGUUUUACAACUUUGUUGGAUACAGAAGCUCCGAGCUGAAGUUGACCAAAAUAUAUCGAGU
Long non-coding RNA from Oxyura jamaicensis (ruddy duck), 560 nucleotides. RefSeq lists it as uncharacterized. The transcript is spliced from 4 exons. The record is from RefSeq and is a predicted model, not a curated record. Lineage: Eukaryota; Metazoa; Chordata; Aves; Anseriformes; Anatidae.